AGUGAACGCUGGCGGUAGGCCUAACACAUGCAAGUCGAACGGCAGCACAGUAAGAGCUUGCUCUUACGGGUGGCGAGUGGCGGACGGGUGAGGAAUACAUCGGAAUCUACUUUUUCGUGGGGGAUAACGUAGGGAAACUUACGCUAAUACCGCAUACGACCUACGGGUGAAAGCAGGGGAUCUUCGGACCUUGCGCGAUUGAAUGAGCCGAUGUCGGAUUAGCUAGUUGGCGGGGUAAAGGCCCACCAAGGCGACGAUCCGUAGCUGGUCUGAGAGGAUGAUCAGCCACACUGGAACUGAGACACGGUCCAGACUCCUACGGGAGGCAGCAGUGGGGAAUAUUGGACAAUGGUCGCAAGCCUGAUCCAGCCAUACCGCGUGGGUUAAGAAGGCCUUCGGGUUGUAAAGCCCUUUUGUUGGGAAAGAAAAGCAGCAGGUUAAUACCCCGCUGUUCUGACGGUACCCAAAGAAUAAGCACCGGCUAACUUCGUG
RNAcentral lists this ribosomal RNA (492 nucleotides) under uncultured bacterium. RNAcentral describes it as "partial 16S ribosomal RNA". It matches the Rfam family "Bacterial small subunit ribosomal RNA", at positions 29 to 507 of the family's 1533-position model. The record is from RNAcentral.